GUAGGUGAACCUGCGGAAGGAUCA
This 24-nucleotide non-coding RNA is filed under the name Arabidopsis thaliana (thale cress). RNAcentral also lists the same sequence under 35 other names. Lineage: Eukaryota; Viridiplantae; Streptophyta; Magnoliopsida; Brassicales; Brassicaceae. The record is from RNAcentral.